UACGGAGGGUGCAAGCGUUGUCCGGAUUUAUUGGGUUUAAAGGGUGCGUAGGCGGCUGUUUAAGUCAGUGGUGAAAGACUCCGGCUCAACCGGGGCAGUGCCAUUGAUACUGGACAGCUUGAGUGUUGGAGGGGUACAUGGAAUUGAUGGUGUAGCGGUGAAAUGCAUAGAUACCAUCAGGAACACCGAUAGCGAAGGCAUUGUACUGGCCAACAACUGACGCUGAUGCACGAAAGCAUGGGUAGCGAACAGG
RNAcentral lists this ribosomal RNA (253 nucleotides) under uncultured bacterium. RNAcentral's name for it is "partial 16S ribosomal RNA". It matches the Rfam family "Bacterial small subunit ribosomal RNA", at positions 524 to 776 of the family's 1533-position model. The record is from RNAcentral.